This 274-nucleotide long non-coding RNA is filed under the name Elaeis guineensis (African oil palm). RNAcentral describes it as "long non-coding RNA (EGUI_LNC021931)". The record is from RNAcentral. Lineage: Eukaryota; Viridiplantae; Streptophyta; Magnoliopsida; Arecales; Arecaceae.
GGGGGGAUGAUCUUACUAAUUCCUCCAUAUUCACAUCAAAUAGUAAUACAUUUGUCAAGUAUGGCAUGGGCCCACUGUUUCUUAGAGAUAAGCAGAAAAGUAAUUUGAGGUUGAGAAAAAGGAUCGAGAUGCCAAUGUUAAGGUGAACUUAUAGUUCAGCUAGCUUGGAUUGGCAAAUUAAAAGAUAAUUAAACACUUUCAAUGCAGAUUAAGAGUGAAGGGAGGAAAGCAUUAGCAUAGAAGAUUUGGAUCAGUGCAGUGUGAUUUUGAGAUG